UUUUUGAAAAAUAGUCUAGCCGUGCGGCUAUACUACUUUUUUGGACACGUGGCGCCUAAUCGCUGGAGGCUCCUUUUUUUAAAAACCAAAAAAAGUACAGCCGCACGGCUAUACUUAUACUCAGUUUUUAAAAUUUUUUUUUAAAAUUUUUUUAU
RNAcentral lists this small RNA (155 nucleotides) under Prunus dulcis (almond). Its description in RNAcentral is "sRNA ncRNA". Lineage: Eukaryota; Viridiplantae; Streptophyta; Magnoliopsida; Rosales; Rosaceae. The record is from RNAcentral.